AAUAUUAGACAAUGGGCGAAAGCCUGAUCCAGCCAUGCCGCGUGUGUGAAGAAGGUCUUCGGAUUGUAAAGCACUUUAAGGUGGGAGGAAGGGUUGUGGAUUAAUACUCUGCAGUAUUGAAGUCACCGACAGAAUAGGCACGGUCUAACUUCGUGCCAGCAGCCGAGGUAAUACGAAGGGUGCAAGCGUUAAUCGGAAUUACUGGGCGUAAAGCGCGCGUAGGUGGUUCGUUAAGUUGGAUGUGAAAGCCCCGGGCUCAACCUGGGAACUGCAUCCAAAACUGGCAAGCUAGAGGACGGUAGAGGGUGGUGGAAUUUCCUGUGGAGCGGUGAAAUGCGUAGAUAUAGGAAGGAACACCAGUGGCGAAGGCGACCACCUGGACUGAUACUGACACUGAGGUGCGAAAGCGUGGGGAGCAAACAGG
Molecule: ribosomal RNA, 424 nt
Filed under: uncultured bacterium
Lineage: Bacteria
Description: partial 16S ribosomal RNA
Rfam family: Bacterial small subunit ribosomal RNA
Source: RNAcentral